Molecule: ribosomal RNA, 496 nt
Filed under: uncultured bacterium
Lineage: Bacteria
Description: partial 16S ribosomal RNA
Rfam family: Bacterial small subunit ribosomal RNA
Source: RNAcentral
GAUGAACGCUGGCGGCGUGCCUAAUACAUGCAAGUCGAGCGAACGGACGAGAAGCUUGCUUCUCUGAUGUUAGCGGCGGACGGGUGAGUAACACGUGGAUAACCUACCUAUAAGACUGGGAUAACUUCGGGAAACCGUAGCUAAUACCGGAUAAUAUUUUGAACCGCAUGGUUCAAAAGUGAAAGACGGUCUUGCUGUCACUUAUAGAUGGAUCCGCGCUGCAUUAGCUAGUUGGUAAGGUAACGGCUUACCAAGGCAACGAUGCAUAGCCGACCUGAGAGGGGGAUCGGCCACACUGGACCUGGGAACCGGUCCGGAUCCCAACGGGAGGCAGAGGUAGGAAUCUUCCGCAAUGGGCGAAAGCCUGACGGAGCAACGCCGCGUGAGUGAUGAAGGUCUUCGGAUCGUAAAACUCUGUUAUUAGGGAAGAACAUAUGUGUAAGUAACUGUGCACAUCUUGACGGUACCUAAUCAGAAAGCCACGGCUAACUACGUG